AAGUCGUAACAAGGUUUCCGUAGGUGAACCUGCGGAAGGAUCAUUACAGUGUUCCCUGCCCUUCGGGGUAGGAUCGCCACCCUUGAUUAUUUAUGAGUGUUGCUUUGGCGGGCCUCGCGGCCUGGCCGCGCCCCGGCUUCGGCGGGGGAGCGCCCGCCAGAGGAUUCUACAAACCUGAUUAUUAGUGUCGUCUGAGUACUAUAUAAUAGUUAAAACUUUCAACAACGGAUCUCUUGGUUCUG
RNAcentral lists this unclassified non-coding RNA (242 nucleotides) under fungal sp. Its description in RNAcentral is "partial contains small subunit ribosomal RNA, internal transcribed spacer 1, and 5.8S ribosomal RNA". The stretch from base 1 to 46 matches the Rfam family "Eukaryotic small subunit ribosomal RNA", at positions 1786 to 1831 of the family's 1831-position model. The record is from RNAcentral. RNAcentral also lists the same sequence under 3 other names. Lineage: Eukaryota; Fungi.